GUGUGGGUCUGUAUGUGAGUGGAUAGGUCAGUAUGGGUCUGUAUGUGAGUGGAUAGGUCAGUGUGGGUCUGUAUGUGAGUGGAUAGGUCAGUGUGGGUCUGUAUGUGAGUGGAUAGGUCAGUGUGGGUCUGUAUGUGAGUGGAUAGGUCAGUGUGGGUCUGUAUGUGAGUGGACAGUUAAGCAGCUUUGCUGCACGUUCUGAGAACCUUAGUCAUUUGGGAGCUGGCUUUAUUGAGGGAGUAUCUUCUGAUACUCUGCCAGCUUGUAAAGCUUUUUUUUUAUUUUCCAAAAUCAAUAAUUUUUUAAUCAAAUAUACAAUUCCAUUUUUUCUUGCAUAUUUACAUAACAGAACUGAUAUACCUGCUUUAUAUGCCAUUGCAGGCAAUCUCCUGAGAUGUUAUUUAAUCUGUGACGAAGAGCCUGAUACUGGCACGGAAUGAAGAAAUUCCGGAAAACUGGAAAUCCCUCUGUUUUCUUCCAAUCGCGUUCCUGGGGUAUGUAGGUAAAAUUAAGGAAGAGAGACCCCACAUUGAAGAAGAAAAGGAUGAAGCAGUCAUGAUAAGUCUCUAAAAUAUUACAUUUCUCCUCCCCCAAACUUUUUUUUAUAGAAUAAAGCAUAAUCAGGGGCAGGAGGACAUUCUCAGGGCUAAUUAUAUCGGUACAGGUAUGGGAUCUCUUAUCCAGAAACCCCAUAUCCCAAUAGCUCUUAAUUACAGGAAGGUCAUCUCAAAUAGAGUCCAUUUCAAGCAAAUAAUUAUUAUUUUUCACAAUCAGAAGAUGAACCCUAAUCUCUCUCUCUCUCUGUUAAUCUGCAGACUGCCCACGAAGAAAAAGAAGAGGAUGAGCCAGAAGAGGAGCUAAAUGAUCAAGUCGACUGUAAGAACAAGCUCCUCGCAGAAGUCUGGCCUUAUUUUAAUUGUUAUCUGAAAAACCUCCUUAUUGAUUGGCCUCGAAUCUGAGCGAUGUCCAUUUUCUUGUGGCUAUUCCGCUUCCUGGAAUUCGAUUUGGGAGAAAAGCCCCCACGGAUAACCGCAGUGAGGUUCCACAGACGGACGGAAAACAAACAAAUUGUCCUGGAUUUGGACAUUAGCUUUGAUGGACCUAUUGAGGUUGAAGUGGCUCUUUUCAAGCGCUUCCUGAGGCUUGGAGUCAAUCAUCUUGAGUUACGUGGAACAGUGCGGGUGAUACUGGGGCCGCUGUUUGUUGACGGAGACAUCUCUUAACACUGCCAGCUUGUGAAGCUUUUUUUUAAUUUUUAAAAAUGACUAUAAAUAAUUUUUAAAUUAAAUAUACUAUUGCAUUUGUUCUUGCAUAUUUACAUGGCAGAAGUAAUAUGCCUGCCUUAUAUGCUGUUGCGUGCAUUAUUGUCAAAUGCUAUUUAACUGUGUAUGUUCCCUUUUAUCUUCUAUAUAUCAGUAAUGAGCCUCUCCUUUCUUUUAGUUACGUGGAACAGUGCGGGUGAUACUGGGGCCGCUGUUGGAUGAGAUACCACUGUUUGGAGCGGUGACCUGGUAUCUGUGCGACCGACCAGCUACGAAAUUAAAAUGGACUGGAACCGUGACUUGAAUUACACGAGUAAAGAAAUUACUGGAUAAAGCUGCAAACAAAUUUGUAGACUAUUUCUUUGUCGAGCCAGUUCACACAUCAACUAAAAUGUGGAAAGAAGCUGAUGUGGAUGUUUUGCACUUGACUGAGUGACUGAGUUUAUAAUCAUUAGUCGGAAAAGUACCAUCACCCACUGCCUUAACAUUACCAUUGGCUGAAGCCCACAAAGAGUAGGGGCGGGACUUUAAUCAAUGUGACUGGGCAUUAAGCAAUUAGAACUAAUAAAUACAAUGGUUUUUGUCUCUGCAGAAUGUGAUUCGUGUCCGUGUACUGGAGGCAGAAGAUUUAGCCUCACGCGGCUUUAUAGCGAAGAGGUUCCGACCCUACGUGGUUGUGAGUGGGGCAGGCAAGAAAGGAAAGACCAAAUUAGCCAAGAGAAGCCUGAACCCAUCAUGGAACCAAGCAUAUGAGGGGCAUUUAUUGCAUUGGCAUUGGCUGUACCCCCCCCUGCACCCUACAUCUACAUCAGUGAUCCCGAACCAGUGACUCUGGGACAACAUGUUGCUCCCCAACCCCUUGGAUGUUGCUCUCAGUGCCCCCAAACCAGCUGAACAAUAGCGAGGAGAAACCAACAGCCAGAGUAGAGCUGAAGAUCCAGGACGCCAAGCGGAAGACUAAGUUUCGCAAAGAUGCCAAGUCCCCGGAGUGGAAGCAGAAAUUCAGCUUCCCAUUAAAGGACCCAAGGAAUGAGGUGUUAAAAGGUUCUGGUUGGAGAAAAAGCAGAAAAUGAGGGGCUUAGGAAAAGACAAAGAUACACAAGAGAGCACCUGUUACCUGCUUCUGCUCUUUCAGAGUGUCCAAAAUGUUAUUCUCCAGCCUCCUAGCCGCUAGCAGCCACUGAGCCUCUAAUCUGUGCAGCCUCUUCUUCAUGAAGAUCAGAGACUCCUUGCCAGUUCCCAUUGAGUCCAGCAGGGAGGAGAGCUCCGUACGGAAGGCAGCCUGGGGGAACAAAAAAAGAGGUUGGUGCUUAUCGUGGAGGUCUCUCUGGCCUUCCACCACUAAAGAUACAAAGAAAAUACACCUGUAAGAUUUAAGGCUGUUAAGGCCCAUAUUACCCCCUCCUACCACUCAUAACACUGGUAGAAUUGGCAUGAAACUGGCAGCACUGACACCUGUUUUUGGCAUCCAUCCGUGACUCCCUAUGACAGAACACCGGAACCGGGCACCUUGGCCAUACUGACCCUUUGAUCGGAGAAGGCUGUUCCGCAGAAUCUGAUCUACUUUCACUGCAAUGUCCGACACGUUUUGAGCGAUGGCCUGGAUCUUCUCCAUCAGCCCAACUGACUGCAAGCUGGAAAAAAAAAAAUAUAGCAGUUAUUUACAUUCUAAGGCUAAGCACACACUGUAAGCUGUUUGCUGAUUGCUAUGAAGAAUAAACACUGAUAUUUAAAAUAAA
RNA transcript from Xenopus tropicalis (tropical clawed frog), 3001 nucleotides. It is a transcript of the gene named extended synaptotagmin-1-like, with no coding region annotated. The transcript has 11 exons. The record is from RefSeq and is a predicted model, not a curated record. Lineage: Eukaryota; Metazoa; Chordata; Amphibia; Anura; Pipidae.